RNA transcript from Oreochromis niloticus (Nile tilapia), 3380 nucleotides. It is a transcript of the gene named zinc finger protein 708-like, with no coding region annotated. The record is from RefSeq and is a predicted model, not a curated record. Lineage: Eukaryota; Metazoa; Chordata; Actinopteri; Cichliformes; Cichlidae. The transcript is spliced from 3 exons.
GACUCUGUGCUCAAACUAGCGUUCCUCCCUGUCCAGGAUGUCUCAUCAUUGAAAGAGUUCCCACUGGCCUGUAGGUGUAAAUUGACUGGAGAGUCCUGGCCCUACUAAAGAAUGUUAUCUUGUUUCAGGAUACAUAAUACCUGCCGUUAUCCAACCCAUUCACAGUGUUGGGGAAAGCCUAAGCUGAGAAGGCGGUAGAGAAGGACAGCUGCUGGGUAAACAAAAACUCUUAGUGAUCCCUCAUCAUAUGUCAGCAGUAUUGAAACAGUUCAGACAUGUUUUUUCUAAAUGUAGUCUAAGUGUCAGGAGGAAUGUCGUGAUUUAUACAUUGAGGAAACCAAACAACCUCUGGCAAUGCAGAUGGCACAACACAGAAGAGCUACCUAUGUUUACACCUACAGGUCAGUGUGGCCUGUAGGUGUAAUUCUUAAUUCCACUCUGCCUAGAUGCCUAGAUACCCAUAAAUCAGGUGAUGUUAUGCCAUCAUUUCUUAGUACACAACAAACACUUCACAUUAGAAUGAAAAAAAAUCUCAAGUGUGUGGAAGUAGACGUAGUAGUAGCACAUUUAAUUAUUUACAAGCAUAAUGUAUGUUUAUUGACAUACAUGGGCAACCUUUCUACUUUCAGCAGAUCAGAGCAAUCGGCUGCAGUAUCAGGGUCACAAUAAACUUUAUUGUCCAGUUGUGGAUGGUGGAGAGUACCAGCUUUUUAAAUCCUGGUGGGGUUCUCCCUAAAGAAGUGUAAUUGACCCACUUUUGAUCCCAUGCCUUAUCACAUAAGGGAUAAAAUACAUAUCUACAAUUUUUGUGUCCCAGCUGAGUAACAGGAGGAGAAGAGUCUGGUGGAGCAGCAGAGGAACAAUUUCAGCCAUUUGGACUCAGCUCAGCCACUACAGAGGAAACAAUGACUUCAACACAAAAGAACCAACAUGGAAGUCAGCGCUCUCAGGAGGCCGACAAACCUCACAGAAGAAAGGGAGAGAAAACAUACAGUUAUGAUGAGUGUGGAGAAGAUUUUACUGGAAAGUCUAACCUGAACCUUCAACAACUCAUCCACACUGGGAUGAGACCAUUCAGGUGUGACUUGUGUGGAACGUCUUUUACCAAGACAGUAAACUUGAAAAGACACCAACUCAUCCAUAGUGGAGAUAAACCGUACAGCUGUGACUUGUGUGGAAAAUCUUUUACCCAACCUGGAAACUUAAAAAGACACCAGCUUGUCCACAGUGGAGUUAAACUGUACACCUGUGAUCAGUGUGGUAAAACUUUUAAUUGCAGUGGCAACUUACUAAAGCAUGAAGUUACCCACUCUGGAAUUAAGGCGUACAGCUGUGACAUUUGUGGGAAAACUUUUAGCCUUUUAGGGAACAGAAAUAGACACCAACGCAUUCACACUGCAAAUGGUGUUUACUUCUGUGAUCAGUGUGGGAAACUGUUUACAACAGAUGCACACUUACAAUUCCACAUGUUUACCCACACUGAUGAGAGACUUUAUAAAUGUGACCUGUGUGAUAAGGCUUUUAAAGCUCCACGUUACCUGAGAAAACACCACCAAAUGCACUCCAGAAAGAAACUCUACAAGUGCAGUUAUUGUGAGGAUAAUACCCAUAAGGAUUAAGCGACUCUGACCCAAAGGAUGGAGAGCUGUCCAGACCACCUGUACGGGGGUAACUGGGAUCUAACAGUGUGAAUGAGGUAUGUUGUAUAAAGCACUUUGAGUGCUCAGGCAGAGUAGAAAAGUGCUCUGUAAGAACCAGUCCAUUUUACUUGUAUUCACUGACUGAACAACAGGAGGGUCAUCUAACUAAAACCAGUCAGUGUAUCCCACCUGACCCCCUCAAAAUCAAAUUAUUUUUAAUGGUCUGUAAGUUUUAUUUACAUGUCCUCAAAGUAUGGUGAGAGUCUGUCUGCAGCCAGGGUAGCAGUGCUUGUUGCUGUUCCUCUACAUCAAAGACAUUUAUUGUAGCCCAGUGAGCUGAGUGUUAUAAUGUAAACAGUAAAAUGUAAUUGGAUAUUGGCAGAAAUGCUCUUUAUCUGAGGCGACGUUCAGGGUAAAAAUGUUGAAGGAUUACUCUGACUUACACUGUCUUUGUAUCUUUGUUUAGAAGCAGAGCAACACAGAUGGAUCCCGUUCUCAACCCUGUCGUCACUGUGGUGGUGGGAAAGACUUUUGUUGUGACCUUUGUGGAAAAACUUUCAAUCAUCAAUGGAACCUUACAAUACAUCAACGUAGACACACUGGAGACAAAAUGAGCUACUGCAAAAAAUGUGGGAGAGGCUUCCCCACUCCAAGUGAAUUAAAGCGCCAUGAACUCAUUCACAGUGGGGUCAAAAAGCACGUCUGUGACCAGUGUGGGUCAUCAUUUAUUACUGCAGAUGAUCUUAAAAGACAUAAACGAGUCCACACGGGAGAGAAACCAUACAAGUGCAGACACUGUGAGAAAUGUUUCACACAAUCAAGUAGUCGUAACCUUCAUGAAGGUACACACGGAAGAGAACUUCAGCUGUGACAAGAGCUUCAGGAAUCUCACUACAUACUCCGAACACAAACAAUCCCAUGCUGUAAACAAACUGUUUCACUGUUACCAAUGUGCAAAAACAUUCACUUCAUUUUCUGCUCUGUGCAAACAUCAGCGUGAUCACGCAAGACUGAAAUCACUGGAUCACAAUGAAUCUGAAGAGACAGAAAGUUCCUCUUCUGGUUUCAGGGUCAGACUUCAAAACCUUGAGAUCAGGCUCCACAGAGUUCAGCUGGAAUCUGCUCUAAAAAGUGUCAGCUAAUGACACACUUGGAUCUGAUGAGGUAGCUCUGAUAUGUGGACCUGCAGUGAAUAAACCUGAAUGUUAUAACUAGGAAGGCACAAGUAUAAAUAUUUACAUUAGUUUGUGUGUGUGUGUGUGUGUGUGUGUGUUUUAAGGAAUUUUAACAUUUAUCCCCCUACAAACAGUAGCUUUUAGUCUCAGUACUUCCAUGGAUGCUUUUAGUGUUUAAUAACCAGUAACCAUCAUGGCUUAUCAAUUGAUAAAUAGACAAAUCGAUAUAUUCCCACUCUUAAUACACCCAAUCACUGCAGUGUCAUUAGAUAAACUUUUACAGGUGGCACGUUUCUCCUUUCUACUAGAAAUCUGAGGUGUAUAAGGUAAACAGCAAUGGAGAUCAAAAUCCUUCGGCACUAUUAUUUGCACUGCAGUGAACUGGAACCUGUUCAGCAUGUACUAUUAGAAUGUCAGGUCUAUGUUCAAGAAAGGAACAAGGCAUUAAUAGCAAUUUUUAAGAAGCUGAAUGUGACUAGGCUCUUUGACAUUCAUUUAAACACGAAGCUUCAGAAGGAUUUCAUAAGAUGCUCUAUACCGCAGUUAGACUUCAGUCUAGCAAAGA